This 72-nucleotide transfer RNA is filed under the name Nanoarchaeum equitans Kin4-M. RNAcentral describes it as "tRNA-His (GTG) (tRNA-His-GTG-1-1)". It matches the Rfam family "tRNA". Rfam says of the family: Transfer RNA (tRNA) molecules are approximately 80 nucleotides in length. Their secondary structure includes four short double-helical elements and three loops (D, anti-codon, and T loops). Further hydrogen bonds mediate the characteristic L-shaped molecular structure. tRNAs have two regions of fundamental functional importance: the anti-codon, which is responsible for specific mRNA codon recognition, and the 3' end, to which the tRNAs corresponding amino acid is attached (by aminoacyl-tRNA synthetases). tRNAs cope with the degeneracy of the genetic code in two manners: having more than one tRNA (with a specific anti-codon) for a particular amino acid; and 'wobble' base-pairing, i.e. permitting non-standard base-pairing at the 3rd anti-codon position. Lineage: Archaea; Nanobdellati; Nanobdellota; Candidatus Nanoarchaeia; Nanoarchaeales; Nanoarchaeaceae. The record is from RNAcentral.
GCCCCCGUAGCUUAGUGGCAGAGCGCCGGGCUGUGGACCCGGAGGUCCCGGGUUCGAAUCCCGGCGGGGGCC